Molecule: ribosomal RNA, 1236 nt
Filed under: metagenome
Description: bacterial LSU rRNA
Rfam family: Bacterial large subunit ribosomal RNA
Source: RNAcentral
UGAAUACGAGAUACUACGGUGUCGAAGCAGUCUAUGUCAUACUUCCAAGAAAAGCUUGCACUGUCAUAAACAAAUAAUGCCUGUACCAUAACCGACACAGGUGGGUAGGUAGAGUAUACUAAGGGGCGCGAGAUAACUCUCUCUAAGGAACUCGGCAAAAUGACUCCGUAACUUCGGGAGAAGGAGUGCCUUAUAUUUAUAAGGUUGCAAUAACAAGAUCCAAGCAACUGUUUAUCAAAAACACAGGUCUCCGCUAAGUCGUAAGACGAUGUAUGGGGGCUGACGCCUGCCCAGUGCCAGAAGGUUAAAGAAGUUGGUUAGCUUUUGCGAAGCUGAUAACUGAAGCCCUGGUGAACGGCGGCCGUAACAAUAACGGUCCUAAGGUGGCGAAAUUCCUUGUCGGGUAAGUUCCGACCCGCACGAAAGGCGUAAUGAUUUGGAUACUGUCUCGGAGAGGGACUCGGUGAAAUAGACUUGUCUGUGAAGAUGCAGACUACUUGCACCAGGACAGAAAGGCCCUAUGAAGCUUUACUGUAACCUGAAAUUGAAAUUGGACUUUACUUGCGCAGGAUAGGUGGGAGGCUUUGAGAAUAUUCUUGCGGGAAUAUUGGAGCCAUCAGUGAGAUACCACUCUGGUAAUGUUAGAUUUCUAACUUUGUAUCAUUAUCUGGUCAAAGAACAGUUUCAGGCGGGCAGUUUGACUGGGGCGGUCGCCUCCUAAACGGUAACGGAGGCGCACAAAGGUUUCCUCUGAACGGGUAGAAAUCGUAUCUAGAGUGUAAAGGCAUAAGGAAGCUUGACUGUGAGACCUACGAGUCGAGCAGGGACGAAAGUCGGUCUUAGUGAUCUGACGGUGCUGAGUGGAAAGGCCGUCACUCAACGGAUAAAAGUUACUCUAGGAUAACAGGCUGAUCUCCCCCAAGAGUUCACAUCGACGGGGAGGUUUGGCACCUCGAUGUCGGCUCAUCGCAUCCUGGGGCGGUAGUACGUCCCAAGGGUUGGGCUGUUCGCCCAUGAAAGCGGUACGCGAGCUGGGUUCAGAACGUCGUGAGACAGUUCGGUCCAUAUCCGGUGUAAGCGUUAGAAUAUUGAGAGGAGCCUUCUUUAGUACGAGAGGACCGAGAAGGAUGCACCGCUGGUGUACCAGUUAUUGUGCCAACAGUAAACGCUGGGUAGCUAUGUGUGGAGUGGAUAACCGCUGAAAGCAUCUAAGUGGGAAGCCCACCUCAAGAUAAG